This 88-nucleotide transfer RNA is filed under the name Bhargavaea cecembensis DSE10. It matches the Rfam family "tRNA". Rfam says of the family: Transfer RNA (tRNA) molecules are approximately 80 nucleotides in length. Their secondary structure includes four short double-helical elements and three loops (D, anti-codon, and T loops). The record is from Rfam by way of RNAcentral. Lineage: Bacteria; Bacillati; Bacillota; Bacilli; Caryophanales; Caryophanaceae.
GGAGAGCUGUCCGAGUGGCCGAAGGAGCACGAUUGGAAAUCGUGUAUACGCUAACCGUGUAUCAAGGGUUCGAAUCCCUUGCUCUCCG